GGUAAAUGCUAAUUCUUUAAAAUGGGGUAUUUUAUGGUAAGUAGACAUUUCACAGUGGUAUCUGUGCAAUUAACUCGUACCAAAAAGAAUAUACCAUAAAAUACAAAAUAAGUAGGUAUAGGUACAUUGGGGGAGUUAAAGAGUGUUUGUUACUUAGGAAGGGUGGCUAGGGCUAAACUCGUGUGACCUCCAACAACCAAAAAAGUUGUUAUUACCAAACACGUUUUUCUCUAUAAAUACAAGUUUUUUUGUUAGCUUCUAUACACACAGUAAAGGUGCUACUUCCUUCUCAUUUCAAUCAUAAUUAUUAAUAUUACUUCAUCAAUUCAUGGAGAAUAUUACCAAGAAGAGAAGAAAACCAUUGAUUUCAUCGUCCUAUGUCGAGGAGAAGAGGUUGUAGUAAGAUUUGUGUGGAACACUCAUUUGAGCAAGAUAUAUUUGUCGGCUAACACGAUGAUGGCACGAGGGUUAUGGGGUUUUCGAGUACCUCGACCUCGGACCUUCAUCUGUUUUUAAUUUAUGUAGUUUUUAUUUAAUAAAGAUGUUAGUAGAUACACUCUAAAUUCAGUUCAUGUACUCGUGGAAUAUUCUUUGAGGCACAAAUAUAUUAAAAUGCGAUCGAUCUUGCUCCAGGGAGAUGAUUGUAGAACACUUUAUUUCACAUUAUGGAAUUAAAUUUAUGAGGGAUUUCAUGCAAUUUGUUUCUUGGUGAAACAAUGUACACCCGGUUUCUUUUUAAGUGUCGUUUAAGGUUAAUGCACAUCAAUUAAUAAAGUUACAAAUUAGCCUUGAU
Erythranthe guttata (spotted monkey flower) is the source of this 793-nucleotide long non-coding RNA. RefSeq lists it as uncharacterized. Lineage: Eukaryota; Viridiplantae; Streptophyta; Magnoliopsida; Lamiales; Phrymaceae. The record is from RefSeq and is a predicted model, not a curated record.